Molecule: non-coding RNA, 521 nt
Organism: Dama dama (fallow deer)
Lineage: Eukaryota; Metazoa; Chordata; Mammalia; Artiodactyla; Cervidae
Source: the annotation of a RefSeq genome assembly
CAGUCCAUGGAGUCACAAAGAGUCAGCUAUGACCAAGUGACUUUCCAGUCUAAAUAGGCAGCUUACAAUCACCAACCACAUCAACAAGCCAUGACAUGACUCAGGCAAACUGCUAUCAGCCAGUUACAUCUCCUGUUCUGCUGCAGAAGCGUCUCACAGUUCAGUCACUGUGCGUGUGCCCUCAGGCACGGCUCAGGCAUCUACUCAGAGGAAGAACUUCCCACAUGGGGCUCCCUGGCCUGCUCAGAGCUCUCAUAGCCUCUGUCUGCCUUGGAUCCAUCAUGGCCCAGAAAGUAACUCAAAACCAGUCUGAAAUUCCUGUGCUGGAGAAGGAGGAUGUAACCUUGAACUGUGCAUAUGAAGCUGUUAGUUAUUCUUAUUAUUUAUUCUGGUACAAGCAACCACCAAGUGGGAAAAUGAUUUUCCUUAUUCAUCAGGAGUCUUACAAUGAACUGAAUACAACAAAAGAAUUGGUCUUCCUGAAGCCUGAGAUUACCUGCAGUAUCAUAUUUGGCCUCUAG